This 746-nucleotide ribosomal RNA is filed under the name uncultured bacterium. Its description in RNAcentral is "bacterial SSU rRNA". It matches the Rfam family "Bacterial small subunit ribosomal RNA", at positions 8 to 796 of the family's 1533-position model. The record is from RNAcentral.
AGAGUUUGAUCAUGGCUCAGAGCGAACGCUGGCGGCAGGCCUAACACAUGCAAGUCGAGCGGGCACCUUCGGGUGUCAGCGGCAGACGGGUGAGUAACACGUGGGAACGUGCCCUUUGGUUCGGGGACAACUCCGGGAAACUGGAGCUAAUACCGGAUAAGCCCUUCGGGGGGAAAGAUUUAUCGCCAAAGGAUCGGCCCGCGUCUGAUUAGCUAGUUGGUGAGGUAAUGGCUCACCAAGGCGACGAUCAGUAGCUGGUCUGAGAGGAUGAUCAGCCACACUGGGACUGAGACACGGCCCAGACUCCUACGGGAGGCAGCAGUGGGGAAUAUUGGACAAUGGGCGCAAGCCUGAUCCAGCCAUGCCGCGUGAGUGAUGAAGGCCCUAGGGUUGUAAAGCUCUUUUAGCGGGGAAGAUAAUGACGGUACCCGCAGAAUAAGCCCCGGCUAACUUCGUGCCAGCAGCCGCGGUAAUACGAAGGGGGCUAGCGUUGCUCGGAAUCACUGGGCGUAAAGGGCGCGUAGGCGGAUCUUUAAGUCGGGGGUGAAAGCCCAGGGCUCAACCCUGGAAUUGCCUUCGAUACUGAAGAUCUCGAGACCGGAAGAGGUAAGUGGAACUGCGAGUGUAGAGGUGAAAUUCGUAGAUAUUCGCAAGAACACCAGUGGCGAAGGCGGCUUACUGGUCCGGUUCUGACGCUGAGGCGCGAAAGCGUGGGGAGCAAACAGGAUUAGAUACCCUAGUAGUCC